GAUGAACGCUGGCGGCGUGCCUAAUACAUGCAAGUCGAGCGAACAGACGAGGAGCUUGCUCCUCUGACGUUAGCGGCGGACGGGUGAGUAACACGUGGAUAACCUACCUAUAAGACUGGGAUAACUUCGGGAAACCGGAGCUAAUACCGGAUAAUAUAUUGAACCGCAUGGUUCAAUAGUGAAAGACGGUUUUGCUGUCACUUAUAGAUGGAUCCGCGCCGCAUUAGCUAGUUGGUAAGGUAACGGCUUACCAAGGCAACGAUGCGUAGCCGACCUGAGAGGGUGAUCGGCCACCCUGGAACUGAGACACGGUCCAGACUCCUACGGGAGGCAGCAGUAGGGAAUCUUCCGCAAUGGGCGAAAGCCUGACGGAGCAACGCCGCGUGAGUGAUGAAGGUCUUCGGAUCGUAAAACUCUGUUAUUAGGGAAGAACAAAUGUGUAAGUAACUAUGCACGUCUUGACGGUACCUAAUCAGAAAGCCCCGGCUAACUACGUG
This 497-nucleotide ribosomal RNA is filed under the name uncultured bacterium. RNAcentral describes it as "partial 16S ribosomal RNA". It matches the Rfam family "Bacterial small subunit ribosomal RNA", at positions 28 to 507 of the family's 1533-position model. The record is from RNAcentral.